GAUGAACGCUGGCGGCGUGCCUAAUACAUGCAAGUCGAACGCAUAGCGAAAGGUGCUUGCACCUUUCAAGUGAGUGGCGAACGGGUGAGUAACACGUGGACAACCUGCCUCAAGGCUGGGGAUAACAUUUGGAAACAGAUGCUAAUACCGAAUAAAACUUAGUGUCGCAUGACACAAAGUUAAAAGGCGCUUCGGCGUCACCUAGAGAUGGAUCCGCGGUGCAUUAGUUAGUUGGUGGGGUAAAGGCCUACCAAGACAAUGAUGCAUAGCCGAGUUGAGAGGCUGAUCGGCCACAUUGGGACUGAGACACGGCCCAAACUCCUACGGGAGGCUGCAGUAGGGAAUCUUCCACAAUGGGCGAAAGCCUGAUGGAGCAACGCCGCGUGUGUGAUGAAGGCUUUCGGGUCGUAAAGCACUGUUGUAUGGGAAGAACAGCUAGAAUAGGAAAUGAUUUUAGUUUGACGGUACCAUACCAGAAAGCGACGGCUAAAUACGUG
Molecule: ribosomal RNA, 497 nt
Filed under: uncultured bacterium
Lineage: Bacteria
Description: partial 16S ribosomal RNA
Rfam family: Bacterial small subunit ribosomal RNA
Source: RNAcentral